RNAcentral lists this ribosomal RNA (253 nucleotides) under uncultured bacterium. RNAcentral describes it as "partial 16S ribosomal RNA". It matches the Rfam family "Bacterial small subunit ribosomal RNA", at positions 524 to 776 of the family's 1533-position model. The record is from RNAcentral.
UACAGAGGGUGCAAGCGUUAAUCGGAAUUACUGGGCGUAAAGCGCGCGUAGGUGGUUUGUUAAGUUGGAUGUGAAAUCCCCGGGCUCAACCUGGGAACUGCAUUCAAAACUGACUGACUAGAGUAUGGUAGAGGGUGGUGGAAUUUCCUGUGUAGCGGUGAAAUGCGUAGAUAUAGGAAGGAACACCAGUGGCGAAGGCGACCACUUGGACUAAUACUGACACUGAGGUGCGAAAGCGUGGGGAGCAAACAGG